GGCCAGACUAGAGCCCUCUCUAAGCCUCUGGAACAACCAGAUGCCACCUGGCCUGGCCUCCACCAGACCUCUUCCUUUCCUGCCCUUUGUGUCAAGGUUGGGCCAAGGGCUCCAGCGUUGGUGUCUGACUUUUCUUCCCUCUGAGGUCACCCCAUCCCUGCUCUAUACAACUGCUUUAGCGCCUCCAUUUGCUUAACCCCUUACCCUAGUGCUUCUGGCCUCCCAUAAUGAAGCUAAUGGACAAAAGAGAACAUGAUUAUCUUUCCUGAAGCUGGAGAGCCGCCCCCAGCUUCCACUUUGCCAACUGACCUGACCUAUUGCUGCUACUGCUGCUGCUGGGAAUCCUGGUGCAUGCUGGGAAACCAAGUGCAUGCCGGGAUUUCAGUCAGUUCCUCCAUGCAUUUUUGGGGUUGCUUGGAACUGUGAGUCUCUAAUCCGUGGCGCGUGCUUCUUGAAAUGAAGCUAAGAACUUCGUGAGAAGAGAAGAGAGGCCAGCGACAUGGAGAAGAAGGGCAGCACCGGUUGAGGAAGGUACCUAAGACUCGGGGAUGCUCAAGACACAAAUUGCAUGGACUUGGCCAAGAAGACCCAGAGGAAAGUGUAUUGCUCUCUAGCAUAGAACUGAUAUAAAUGUCUAGAUUGCUGUUAUGGUCAGCAAGAUCUAAGUCCUAGGAUGAAUUAAAGUCCUAUUCUGAAGCCAACGCUCUGACUGAUCCUAAGAAGGCCACCCAUGAGCAUACCAUUGGAUCCUGGAUCUCAAGUAAACAUAAUUGCAUGCACCAAGAAUUAGCCCCCUCCUGGUUGGAGAUGCCACUCAGUUGACAGAGUGCUUGUCUAGAGUAUGCAAAGCCCUGGGUUUGAUUUCCAGCACCACGUAAACCGGGCGUGAUAAUACACACCUGUAAUUUCAGAACUCAGGAAGUAGAGGCAGGAGAAUCAGAAGUUCAAGACCGGCUAUGCAGCAAGUUCAAGGGCAGACAGCUCUGGAGUUAUAAACAUGAAGACAACAGAAGCCCUACUCCUCACCCCCAGGGCUCCUGGCUUCCCAGAAAGACAGAAAAGCCUGAGAGAUUCAGUUCUCACUGUGGCUAUGAAUAAACUAAGGCAAAAGCUACUGACUUACUAAUUUGAGUCUUGCAAAGAAAUUCAUCCAAAAAAAAAAAAAAAAAAGAAUGCCUUGGAAGCUGAAGAGCAGAAAGGAGGAGGAGCCCACCUCAGACAAAGAGGUCUGGGCACCCAACUGAAUCCCAGAGUCUGCAUUCACUAACUGAGUGAGGAUCUAGCUAGGCUUAGCAGCACUUAGCCAGCUUCGUCAGAUGGGUUUCAUGCCCAUCUAGGAAUUAGAACUUAUGAAGAUAACCUGAGGCGUAAAGCUGGAAGGAGAUCAUAAGGGAAAAUGUUGGGCAAGAUUUUGUUCUCCAUCCCCCCCCCAAAAAAACCCCAAUAAACUCAGGCUUCUUUUUAC
RNAcentral lists this long non-coding RNA (1465 nucleotides) under Rattus norvegicus (Norway rat). Its description in RNAcentral is "long non-coding RNA NONRATT000822". Lineage: Eukaryota; Metazoa; Chordata; Mammalia; Rodentia; Muridae. The record is from RNAcentral.